Molecule: ribosomal RNA, 403 nt
Filed under: uncultured bacterium
Lineage: Bacteria
Description: bacterial SSU rRNA
Rfam family: Bacterial small subunit ribosomal RNA
Source: RNAcentral
AAUCUUCGGCAAUGGGCGCAAGCCUGACCGAGCGACGCCGCGUGGAGGACGAAGGCCUUCGGGUUGUAAACUCCUGUCGAGGGGGAGGAAGGGGAAACCUUGACCGAUCCCUGGAGGAAGCACGGGCUAAGUUCGUGCCAGCAGCCGCGGUAAGACGAACCGUGCGAACGUUAUUCGGAAUCACUGGGCUUAAAGCGCGUGUAGGCGGGCCGGCGCGUCGGUGCCUGAAAGCCCCCGGCUCAACCGGGGAACUGGGGCCGAUACGGCCGGCCUGGAGGGGCGUAGGGGGACCUGGAACUUCCGGUGGAGCGGUGAAAUGCGUUGAGAUCGGAAGGAACGCCCGUGGCGAAAGCGAGGUCCUGGACGCCUGCUGACGCUGAGACGCGAAAGCCAGGGUAGCGAA